Molecule: ribosomal RNA, 253 nt
Filed under: uncultured bacterium
Lineage: Bacteria
Description: partial 16S ribosomal RNA
Rfam family: Bacterial small subunit ribosomal RNA
Source: RNAcentral
GACGUAGGGUGCGAGCGUUGUCCGGAUUUAUUGGGCGUAAAGAGCUCGUAGGCGGCUCGUCGCGUCGACCGUGAAAACCCGCGGCUUAACUGCGGGCUUGCGGUUGAUACGGGCGGGCUAGAGUUCGGUAGGGGAGACUGGAAUUCCUGGUGUAGCGGUGAAAUGCGCAGAUAUCAGGAGGAACACCGGUGGCGAAGGCGGGUCUCUGGGACGGUACUGACGCUGAGACACGAAAGCGUGGGGAGCGAACAGA